This 253-nucleotide ribosomal RNA is filed under the name uncultured bacterium. Its description in RNAcentral is "partial 16S ribosomal RNA". It matches the Rfam family "Bacterial small subunit ribosomal RNA", at positions 524 to 776 of the family's 1533-position model. The record is from RNAcentral.
UACAGAGGAGCCAAGCGUUGUCCGGAUUGACUGGGCGUAAAGCGCACGCAGGCGGAUGCGCGCGUGGGGUGUGAAAUCUGGCCGCUUAACGGCCAGGCGCCAUCCCAUACGGCGCGUCUGGAGUGAUGCAGAGGUCGAUGGAAUUGCCGGUGUAGUGGUGAAAUGCGUAGAGAUCGGCAGGAACACCCAGGGGGAAACCAGUCGACUGGGCAUCUACUGACGCUGAGGUGCGAGAGCGUGGGGAGCGGACCGG